CCUACGGGUGGCAGCAGUGAGGAAUAUUGGUCAAUGGACGAGAGUCUGAACCAGCCAAGUAGCGUGAAGGAUGACUGCCCUAUGGGUUGUAAACUUCUUUUAUAAAGGAAUAAAACGAGGCACGUGUGCCUUUUUGCAUGUACUUUAUGAAUAAGGAUCGGCUAACUCCGUGCCAGCAGCCGCGGUAAUACGGAGGAUCCGAGCGUUAGCCGGAUUUAUUGGGUUUAAAGGGAGCGUAGACGGGUUGUUAAGUCAGUUGGGAAAGUUUGCGGCUCAACCGUAAGAUUGCAAUUGAUACUGGCAGUCUUGAGUACAGUUGAGGUAGGCGGAAUUCGUGGUGUAGCGGUGAAAUGCUUAGAUAUCACGAAGAACCCCGAUUGCGAAGGCAGCUUACUAAACUGUGACUGACAUUGAUGCUCGAAAGUGUGGGUAUCAAACAGGAUUAGAUACCCGAGUAGUC
RNAcentral lists this ribosomal RNA (460 nucleotides) under uncultured bacterium. RNAcentral's name for it is "partial 16S ribosomal RNA". It matches the Rfam family "Bacterial small subunit ribosomal RNA", at positions 338 to 795 of the family's 1533-position model. The record is from RNAcentral.